This 305-nucleotide ribosomal RNA is filed under the name uncultured bacterium. RNAcentral describes it as "bacterial SSU rRNA". It matches the Rfam family "Bacterial small subunit ribosomal RNA", at positions 338 to 657 of the family's 1533-position model. The record is from RNAcentral.
CCUACGGGGCGCAGCAGUGGGGAAUAUUGGGCAAUGGGCGCAAGCCUGACCCAGCAAUGCCGCGUGAAGGAAGAAGGCCCUCGGGUUGUAAACUUCUUUUAUCAGGGACGAAGGAUGUGACGGUACCUGAUGAAUAAGCUCCGGCUAACUACGUGCCAGCAGCCGCGGUAAUACGUAGGGAGCAAGCGUUAUCCGGAUUUACUGGGUGUAAAGGGGGCGCAGACGGCAGCGCAAGCCAGGAGUGAAAGCCCGGGGCCCAACCCCGGGACUGCUCUUGGAACUGCGCGGCUGGAGUGCAGGAGGGG